GACGAACGCUGGCGGCGUGCUUAACACAUGCAAGUCGAACGAGUGGCGAACGGGUGAGUAACACGUGGGUGAUCUGCCUUGCACUUCGGGAUAAGCUUGGGAAACUGGGUCUAAUACCGGAUAGUGCAAGAUGAGCUCGCGGCCUAUCAGCUUGUGGGUGAGGUAAUGGUCACCAAGGCUCGAUCCGUAACUGGUCUGAGAGGAUGAUCAGUCACACGGGAACUGAGACACGGUCCAGAGUCCUACGGGAGGCAGCAGUGGGGAAUAGUGGACAAUGGGCGAAAGCCUGAUCCAGCCAUGCCGCGUGGGGGAUGAAGGCCUUCGGGUUGUAAACUCCUUUCGACAGGGACGCGGUACCUGUAUAAGAAGCAACGGCUAACUACGUGCCAGCAGCGGCGGUAAUAC
RNAcentral lists this ribosomal RNA (405 nucleotides) under uncultured bacterium. RNAcentral's name for it is "partial 16S ribosomal RNA". It matches the Rfam family "Bacterial small subunit ribosomal RNA", at positions 28 to 526 of the family's 1533-position model. The record is from RNAcentral.